AUAAAUUGAUUUCUAGAGUGUCAGCAUAUUUGGACUCCUGUAAAAGCUAUGAUCUCAAGGCACACAGCUUGACCUUUUAGGGGCUGUUUAUGAAAGUUGAUUAUAACUUGCAUCAUGGAGAUCAUUGACUCAAUAAAUAUUUGUCAAGCAGCCACUGCCUGUCUGGUACAGUUAUAGGUGCAGGAGUACACUGGGGAAUAAGGCAGCCAGGGUCCUUGUCCUCAGGGAGCUUACUUUCUGAUGAGGGAGACAGACAAACUGAUAAACACAUGAGAACUUCACAGCCUGCAAGAAAAUAAAAACAGCAAUAGGACAAAGGUUUAUGUGAGGCAGAAUAUUUUUAGCUAAAUGAAUCUAAGAGACCUUUCCUGAGAGAACAUCACUGGAGCAGCAAUGUGACUGAUGAGAAGACCCAAAGAAAAUAGCAGGCUGACGAGAACCUGUUGUGUGUCCAGCACUGGGUCCGAGGGUGGACCUGUGAACAUGCGCAGAAGUGACCACACGGAACAGGUGUGGCCCCUGGACCCACACUGCUACUGCUCGCUUCCAGCCUUUGCUGCUUUGGUGCCCUUGACCCGGGCAGUACACUUAACCUUGUGAAGACUUCAUUCCUCUUCGGUGGAAGGAGUAAAUGUAGUAGUGCUUACUUUAUAGGGUUAAACAACUAGGCUGGACCUUGGCAGAGGCAUUCCAAUGCCCUGUUGCAGAGAAACAAUCACUGACACUUGCGUGUGCAUUCAUUCAUUUGCUCAUACGGUCUAUCAUUCAUUCAUUCAUCCUUCCAAUAAAUGAUCUCUCAGCAAACUUCUAUUCUAUUCCAGCUGCUGUGCUGUUGGGAACAAUGAUGAACGGGCAGCCACAUACCUGCUCUCGGGACUGUAGAGUUUCGCUAUGCACAGACAAUAAAGCUAAGCACGGUGGCCCAUGCUUGUAAUCCCAGCGGGCAGGAGAGCAAGGAGUGUGAGGCCAGCCUGGACUGCAGAGCAAGACCCUGCCUCCAGAGACAGGCACGGACAAGAAGCAAAUUACCUUGGGCAGUGAAUGUGCACUGUCAUGAACUUCAUGUGUAGAUACGUAUAUUAAUGUACACAUACCCACAUGCAUAACCACAUAAAC
RNAcentral lists this long non-coding RNA (1116 nucleotides) under Chinchilla lanigera (long-tailed chinchilla). RNAcentral's name for it is "lncRNA (ENSCLAG00000026381.1)". Lineage: Eukaryota; Metazoa; Chordata; Mammalia; Rodentia; Chinchillidae. The record is from RNAcentral.